RNAcentral lists this ribosomal RNA (497 nucleotides) under uncultured bacterium. RNAcentral describes it as "partial 16S ribosomal RNA". It matches the Rfam family "Bacterial small subunit ribosomal RNA", at positions 28 to 507 of the family's 1533-position model. The record is from RNAcentral.
GAUGAACGCUGGCGGCGUGCCUAAUACAUGCAAGUCGAGCGAACAGACGAGGAGCUUGCUCCUCUGACGUUAGCGGCGGACGGGUGAGUAACACGUGGAUAACCUACCUAUAAGACUGGGAUAACUUCGGGAAACCGGAGCUAAUACCGGAUAAUAUAUUGAACCGCAUGGUUCAAUAGUGAAAGACGGUUUUGCUGUCACUUAUAGAUGGAUCCGCGCCGCAUUAGCUAGUUGGUAAGGUAACGGCUUACCAAGGCAACGAUGCGUAGCCGACCUGAGAGGGUGAUCGGCCACCCUGGAACUGAGAAACGGUCCAGACUCCUACGGGAGGCAGCAGUAGGGACUCUUCCGCAAUGGGCGAAAGCCUGACGGAGCAACGCCGCGUGAGUGAUGAAGGUCUUAGGAUCGUAAAACUCUGUUAUUAGGGAAGAACAAAUGUGUAAGUAACUAUGCACGUCUUGACGGUACCUAAUCAGAAAGCCACGGCUAACUACGUG